CUUCAAAACCUUCAGCAAGCUGAUGGUUGAGGUACUGAGGGAGUUCGAUUCCGAU
RNAcentral lists this transfer RNA (55 nucleotides) under Tripos fusus. RNAcentral describes it as "partial Selenocysteine transfer RNA". The record is from RNAcentral. Lineage: Eukaryota; Dinophyceae; Gonyaulacales; Ceratiaceae.